AACUCAAUUUAAUUGUCUUUCGCCCCAAUUUAAAUUCAGGUUGGAUUUGGGGGAAGGGGGUUCCAAUUCCCUGAACGGGCCCCCAGGGGGGGAAAACCCUGGGAAUCCGCGGGAACANGGAGGCCCUUCUGCGAGUCGAGUUGUUUGGGAAUCCACUCCCAAGCGGUUGGAAAUUCCAUCUAAGGUAAAUCNGGCGAAGAGACCGAUAGCGAACAAGUACUGGGAAGGAAAGAAUGAAAAGCCCUUUGAAAAGAGAGUGAAACAGCACGUGAAAUUGUUGAAAGGGAAGGGUAUUGCGCCCGACAUGGGGAUUGCGCACCGCUGCCUCUCGUGGGCGGCGCUCUGGGCUUUCCCUGGGCCAGCAUCGGUUCUUGCUGCAGGAGAAGGGGUUCUGGAACGUGGCUCUUCGGAGUGUUAUAGCCAGGGCCAGAUGCUGCGUGCGGGGACCGAGGACUGCGGCCGUGUAGGUCACGGAUGCUGGCAGAACGGCGCAACACCGCCCGUCUUGAAACACGGACC
RNAcentral lists this ribosomal RNA (519 nucleotides) under Pichia kudriavzevii. Its description in RNAcentral is "eukaryotic LSU rRNA". It matches the Rfam family "Eukaryotic large subunit ribosomal RNA", at positions 106 to 667 of the family's 3401-position model. The record is from RNAcentral. Lineage: Eukaryota; Fungi; Ascomycota; Pichiomycetes; Pichiales; Pichiaceae.